Molecule: ribosomal RNA, 465 nt
Filed under: Vreelandella stevensii
Lineage: Bacteria; Pseudomonadati; Pseudomonadota; Gammaproteobacteria; Oceanospirillales; Halomonadaceae
Description: partial 16S ribosomal RNA
Rfam family: Bacterial small subunit ribosomal RNA
Source: RNAcentral
CCUACGGGUGGCAGCAGUGGGGAAUAUUGGACAAUGGGGGCAACCCUGAUCCAGCCAUGCCGCGUGUGUGAAGAAGGCCCUCGGGUUGUAAAGCACUUUCAGUGAGGAAGAACGCCUGGUGGUUAAUACCCAUCAGGAAAGACAUCACUCACAGAAGAAGCACCGGCUAACUCCGUGCCAGCAGCCGCGGUAAUACGGAGGGUGCGAGCGUUAAUCGGAAUUACUGGGCGUAAAGCGCGCGUAGGUGGCUUGAUAAGCCGGUUGUGAAAGCCCCGGGCUCAACCUGGGAACGGCAUCCGGAACUGUCAAGCUAGAGUGCAGGAGAGGAAGGUAGAAUUCCCGGUGUAGCGGUGAAAUGCGUAGAGAUCGGGAGGAAUACCAGUGGCGAAGGCGGCCUUCUGGACUGACACUGACACUGAGGUGCGAAAGCGUGGGUAGCAAACAGGAUUAGAUACCCCUGUAGUU